CAAGUCCUGCCUGAGCUUUCUCCGCAGCAGCCCGGGCCGGGGACCGACAGGCGGCCGGAGCCCAGGCAGCGCCGCGAGCCGCAGGACGGACCUUGGAGCCCGGGCCCGCCCAGGGUCUAGCUACCUAAGAGCCGCGCCAGAGACUCCCACUGGGUGCCGGGAUGGGCGUCGGUCUCCAGAAGCGGCCCAUCCGGGUCCACCCCAGCCCGACCGGCCGGACGGAAGGCCCCGGACGCCUUGCUCGCCCAACUCGGGAAGGAAGAAAAUGAGGGAAGGGUCCGGCCGCUGGCAGCCGACAGGGGAAGAAGUAGAGUGCCAGGGGGCGCCGCCGCUUCCCACCUGCGUCAAGCUCCAGCUGGUAACAGGGCAAAGGCUCGAGGGAGAGCUUGUAACCCUCGAAACGGGGAUCCAGCAGAGGUCUCUUCACGCGCAGAGAGCAAUUAGCAGCCACCUCCAUAGCCACCUCCUGGGUCGCAGCGAGAGAAUUAAUAAAGCUCUUGUUGAAAGGUCCGCGCUUCGCUCGUAGCGCCGAGGCUCGCAGGCGGCGUGGUUCCCAUCCCAGAAAGCACUGCGCGGUGCGGGAUGCCUUCUGGGAAAUGUAGUGUCCAAGGGAAAGUGGACUCUGUUGCAUGUCGGGCUAUGUAGUUUUUUGGAGACCUAACGCCCCAGCGACAGCAUGGGCCGGACUCUCUUACCCAGAGGGCUGAGCUACCAGGAGGCGGCCCGCGCUGGUUAAAUUCUCACAUUUAUAGGCAGGGGAGCGAGACCCCGCCCCGGAAAUGCGUGUUUUAGCUUUCUGUGUGCUUAGGUGCCCGAGCUACUGAGGGUCUAGGUCCGGGCAGCCGAAGAGUGUGGUAGGUAACGGUCGUCAGCGCAAGGGUCAUUUCGUCGCUGGGAAGGGACGGCCCUCGCCCGCGGUGAUGGUGGUUAGCAAGAUGAACAAAGAUGCGCAGAUGAGAGCAGCGAUUAACCAAAAGUUGAUAGAAACUGGAGAAAGAGAACGCCUCAAAGAGUUGCUGAGAGCUAAAUUAAUUGAAUGUGGCUGGAAGGACCAGUUGAAGGCACACUGUAAAGAGGUAAUUAAAGAAAAAGGACUAGAACACGUUACUGUUGAUGACUUGGUGGCUGAAAUCACACCAAAAGGCAGAGGGAAAAACAACCUUUCCAAAAUUAUUGGGUACUCAUUGGGAAAGAUUAUAAUUGCCUACCUGCCUCUCUAGCAUAGUCUUGAGUAAUAAAUGAGAUGAGAGGUAUAAAAUGUUUUUGCACUCUAAAACAGUAUACAAAACCCUGGUACCUGACAGUGUAAAGAAGGAGCUCCUACAAAGAAUAAGAACAUUCCUUGCUCAGCAUGCCAGCCUUUAAGAUUGAAUUAGAUUGUGUUGUUUUGUGGUUUUAUUUCUGAAAGUAAAACUUGCCAUAAAUUAGGAAUCAAUUUCCCAAAUAAAAUCCUUUUUUGUAUGAUGGUAUACAGUUUUCAGUAAUGAUGUAUACAUUGUAUUGAUUUUUUUCCCUAAAUGUGUUAUUUUAAUAAAUAUCUCAUGAAUGAGCUUGAA
Canis lupus familiaris (dog) is the source of this 1556-nucleotide RNA transcript. It is a transcript of the gene named ENY2 transcription and export complex 2 subunit, with no coding region annotated. The transcript is spliced from 6 exons. The record is from RefSeq and is a predicted model, not a curated record. Lineage: Eukaryota; Metazoa; Chordata; Mammalia; Carnivora; Canidae.